UACAGGGGGUGCAAACGUUGCUCGGAAUUAUUGGGCGUAAAGCGCGCGUAGGCGGCCACUUAAGUCGGAUGUGAAAGCCCCUGGCUCAACUGGGGAAGUGCACCCGAAACUGAAUGGCUUGAAUGCAAAAGAGGGUCGCGGAAUUCCCGGUGUAGAGGUGAAAUUCGUAGAUAUCGGGAGGAACACCGGUGGCGAAGGCGGCGACCUGGGUUGACAUUGACGCUGAGGCGCGAAAGCGUGGGGAGCAAACCGG
RNAcentral lists this ribosomal RNA (253 nucleotides) under uncultured bacterium. Its description in RNAcentral is "partial 16S ribosomal RNA". It matches the Rfam family "Bacterial small subunit ribosomal RNA", at positions 524 to 776 of the family's 1533-position model. The record is from RNAcentral.